UACACUCCUCCGGGAGGCAGCAGUGGGGAAUAUUGGACAAUGGGCGCAAGCCUGAUCCAGCCAUGCCGCGUGAGUGAUGAAGGCCCUAGGGUUGUAAAGCUCUUUCACCGGUGAAGAUAAUGACGGUAACCGGAGAAGAAGCCCCGGCUAACUUCGUGCCAGCAGCCGCGGUAAUACGAAGGGGGCUAGCGUUGUUCGGAUUUACUGGGCGUAAAGCGCACGUAGGCGGACUAUUAAGUCAGGGGUGAAAUCCCGGGGCUCAACCCCGGAACUGCCUUUGAUACUGGUAGUCUUGAGUUCGAGAGAGGUGAGUGGAAUUCCGAGUGUAGAGGUGAAAUUCGUAGAUAUUCGGAGGAACACCAGUGGCGAAGGCGGCUCACUGGCUCGAUACUGACGCUGAGGUGCGAAAGCGUGGGGAGCAAACAGGAUUAGAAACCCGGGUAGUCCC
RNAcentral lists this ribosomal RNA (448 nucleotides) under uncultured organism. RNAcentral describes it as "partial 16S ribosomal RNA". It matches the Rfam family "Bacterial small subunit ribosomal RNA", at positions 332 to 797 of the family's 1533-position model. The record is from RNAcentral.